AUUUUUAAAAAUUAACGAUAAUUGUUCGGAGUCCUAGGAAUGCCAAUGCCCACCUAGGCUUAGCUAGCAAAGUAGCAACAUACCCUCAUCACUGAUAUUAAUUGCAGUACUACUUAGUGCCAUAAUUGUCCAAGUCCUUGUUAGUUUUGAGAAACGUGUGUUUCUGAUUUUGUUAAAUCUCUUGUUUAGUUAACGAGAAAGCUAUUGCUUUAAUUUCUUUUGCAGCUAGAAGUGAAUGCAUACAAUAUGAUAUAAAAUAUCGAGCAACUUGUUUAGAGUCAGUCACAAUCUAUUAACGAUAAUUGUUAAUUAUUAUUACUAUUCAAAA
This 328-nucleotide long non-coding RNA is filed under the name Citrus x clementina. Its description in RNAcentral is "Citrus clementina (C. clementina) long non-coding RNA (CCLE_LNC004107)". Lineage: Eukaryota; Viridiplantae; Streptophyta; Magnoliopsida; Sapindales; Rutaceae. The record is from RNAcentral.